This 484-nucleotide ribosomal RNA is filed under the name uncultured bacterium. Its description in RNAcentral is "partial 16S ribosomal RNA". It matches the Rfam family "Bacterial small subunit ribosomal RNA", at positions 30 to 507 of the family's 1533-position model. The record is from RNAcentral.
AUUGAACGCUGGCGGCAGGCCUAACACAUGCAAGUCGAGCGGAUGAAGGGAGCUUGCUCCUGGAUUCAGCGGCGGACGGGUGAGUAAUGCCUAGGAAUCUGCCUGGUAGUGGGGGAUAACGUCCGGAAACGGGCGCUAAUACCGCAUACGUCCUGAGGGAGAAAGUGGGGGAUCUUCGGACCUCACGCUAUCAGAUGAGCCUAGGUCGGAUUAGCUAGUUGGUGGGGUAAAGGCCUACCAAGGCGACGAUCCGUAACUGGUCUGAGAGGAUGAUCAGUCACACUGGAACUGAGACACGGUCCAGACUCCUACGGGAGGCAGCAGUGGGGAAUAUUGGACAAUGGGCGAAAGCCUGAUCCAGCCAUGCCGCGUGUGUUAAGAAGGUCUUCGGAUUGUAAAGCACUUUAAGUUGGGAGGAAGGGCAGUAAGUUAAUACCUUGCCGUUUUGACGUUACCAACAGAAUAAGCACCGGCUAACUUCGUG